GCCAUAUUGUAAUUUCUGUGUUCGAAGUGAAGUCUUAUACAAACGAAAUUCAAUAUUUUAAACUAUGGAGUCAUCUGCACGAAAGCGCAGUCGUAUUGCUGAUGACCAACGUUGUAUUUUGGGGAAAUUUUUCGACGAGGGGAUGGUUGGAACUGGCUCUAAAUAUAAAGAUAAAGUGGAUAAUGCAGUCAUGCAGGCAGGACUAACAAACAAAAUCGCAGGUCGAGGUGUGGAUUGGCAAUCAGAAACGAAAUUCAAAAAGACUGAAAGGGGGAAUGACAUCUUCUGAUGCUGAACAACUGCAGUAUUAUUGAAAAGAGCUAAAAGUAUACAAGGGCCAAAUGCAUAUAACUUGUUUUGCAGUAACGUUUUCAAAUCAGAUGAGUGCAAAGGAUUAUCGCACUCCGAAAAGAACAAGCCUGCUGCAGAAAAAUGGUCACGUCAAAACAGUGAUGAGAAAGAGAAGUACCGGGAAACUGCAAAGGCAAUAAAUUGUGUGAAAAUUGAUAAAUUGGAUGAGGUUCAAAAGAGGAAAACUUUUGAAAGACAUAUUAAAAAACUUCAGGAAGAGAUUAUUGUGCUUGGAGAUCUGGGAUGCCAAAUUUCAUCAUUGAUGGUAGACAACAUGGGAGUAGUUUUCCAAAUUGGAUCAAAUCAAGGAAACCAGUUCUUGUCAUGCAAUCCUGAAAUUGGCAUUAAAUUUCGAGAAUA
Long non-coding RNA from Dendronephthya gigantea, 711 nucleotides. RefSeq lists it as uncharacterized. The record is from RefSeq and is a predicted model, not a curated record. Lineage: Eukaryota; Metazoa; Cnidaria; Anthozoa; Malacalcyonacea; Nephtheidae. The transcript is spliced from 4 exons.